CGAAAGGCCCUUUUAAGGGCCAUCCAUGUUUUCAACAAAGAGUUGU
Molecule: non-coding RNA, 46 nt
Filed under: Podarcis lilfordi (Lilford's wall lizard)
Lineage: Eukaryota; Metazoa; Chordata; Lepidosauria; Squamata; Lacertidae
Rfam family: Histone 3' UTR stem-loop
About the family: The mRNAs of metazoan histone genes lack a poly-A tail. 3' end processing occurs at a site between a highly conserved stem-loop (modelled by this family) and a purine rich region around 20 nts downstream (the histone downstream element, or HDE). The stem-loop is bound by a 31 kDa stem-loop binding protein (SLBP - also termed the histone hairpin binding protein, or HBP).
Source: RNAcentral